Molecule: long non-coding RNA, 2829 nt
Organism: Gallus gallus (chicken)
Lineage: Eukaryota; Metazoa; Chordata; Aves; Galliformes; Phasianidae
Source: Ensembl
CCCGAAGAAAGUAAUAGCUGCCCUCCUCUCUCCUCCCCAUAGGUGAUUUUCUAUACUUUCUUAUAUAUUCCAUCUAGUAAUUAUCUUCCUCAUUGCAUUUUGUUACUUGCUCUGUAAGGAAGAAUUUUAUGUCUUUGAUAAUCCUUAUCUCCUUUUUGUUGCUAGAUUUUCUUCUGUGUCCUUGAUCAGUGAGUAUCACUGUUAAAGAUUCAGAAGCAUCAUGACAUGACAAUGAUUUCUUUUUCAUUCCCUUCUACUCCUAUUUCUAUUUCCAUUUCCACUUCACCCUUCUUUCCUAUCCCUUCUGAGACUCUUUAAGUACCUUUAAUGAGACAAUUUAUUAUAUUCUGGCCUGUGUGGCAAAACCAGUUCUCAGCCUGUUGGCCUUCCAGGAGCUCUGCAUAAGCCAUUGCUUCUGAGAAAGAGGGAGUCUUUCCAGGCUAAAAGUGACUGGUGUGCCAUGACACGUGUUCAUUUUUCAGGUGGCUGUAAAACAUCUACUGAAGUGGCCAUGGACUCUUACUAUGAUCUUCAGAUUUUAAAGCCAAAAAGAAGCAAUUUUUAGAACUAGUAUUUGUUUUUACAGAACAGUGAUCGGCAGUGUUGAAGAGUGCAGUGAUGCAAUGCCAUACAAAGCUUUAUCUCAAGAAAUGGAUUCAACAGCCUUGCCUUUCCGUAUUAAAUUUUAGAGAUUUGAGAAAAAUCACCGGACUUCCACCCAGCAGAAAUCAGGUGAAAGCUUCUUCACUGGCAGACAAGGAAGAGAGGACUUGAGAAAGAGUUGUAGAAUCAUUGAGUAUCCCGAGGUGGAAGAGACUCAUAAGCAUCACUGAGUUAAAACACAAUCAGGACCCAUGACAGCAGGGCUGACUCAGCUGCUUAGCAUGGAAAAUCACCAAAAAUAUUCCACCCUGAGAGCUGAUAAAAGACACAAAGCACUUAAAAAGCCUCAGAUGUAAGAAGUGCCAAAGUCACUUCUGUUGGCAGGCUUUGAAGAUAACUGGCCAUCAGUCAGAAGAUGACUAAAGAAGACACGCUUGCAUCUGGUAAUGCAACAAAACUUCCUCAGUGCUUCUUUCCUCCUCCUCCUGCUGUGCAGGGUGAUGUGGAGCAGCUGCCUCUGUGGCUGCUCUCUGUGCUUAUCAUGUGCAAGCAGUUAAACACUUCCCAGCGUGGAGAAGCGGUGCAGUCUCCUUGGCUGAAAUCUGCCUCCUGCAUGGCAAUGCAGAGGGGGAGGGAGGGCUGGGCUGAGGCAGCCUCACACCUUCACCAUUUCAUGCCUGAUCAGUUGCACCCCACUGUGCUGGAAAAUAUGUUAUGCCAAACUAAUCCUAUUCUGAGAAAACAUUUCAGGGGCAACUGCCAUACCUGUGAUAUUUCAAAUACGAGUUUGGAAUUCACACCUUAUCAGGAAGAGCACACUGACUUUCGUAGUAGUUGUCUGGUGAGUUUGGGUACAGCAGCACAAAUGUUUACUUACACCGUGUUCAGAGAUGAUAAACCACAGCUGCUAACAGAUUGCUAAUUAAAUCUUAGUUAAGCUUUGUCCUUCCCGCCUUUGUGCAAACCUUUAGCAUUUAAGAAUGCAAUUUGCAUGCACAGAGGCAGCAAAGGAAGCGCUGUUUUGGUAAUAAGAUGAGGAGGUGCUCUCUCCACAUUCAGGCUUUAUCUGCCACAGAGGUGCUGGUUCCUGGGAUUCAUUGCUGCUGCUUAUUCAGGCGCUCAGAGGUUUGUGCUGCAUAUUAAUUUCUGUCCAACACGGGAAUUCAAUUUGUGCCGUACAUUUCAUUUCUUCACAGAUUUAGAUUUAUUUCAUGUUCUCUGCUUUUAAUUAACUCUCUGGCACAGCUGCUGGACAGGAUAUAAAAACUCAUUGCUCUCCCCGCGCUGUGUGUACACCACCAAUCAUUUGCCACUUAGAUGGUGGUGCAGGAGCAAUCAGUUUCCAUGGCAACCCAGGCCCCAUUGAUUGAUUCCUUGCCAGUGUGGCAUCACCACGCGGAGCGAGGCUUGUGAUUUUUGCAUGCGUGCAACAUCCAUCUAAUUAAAAUGGGAUUAGAGAUUCAUCCCUGUAUGUGUUCAACAACUGCACUGCAAUCCAUUUAUGUAAAUGUCAACUCUAUUCAGCACCGUCAUCGGAGUGUUGAUGAAGAAACAGUUGCUUUGCUUCAGUAUCUUGCAGUGGGUGGGGGAAAUGGAAAGAGUAAAAUGUACACAGCCUUUUUUUGGCUAUUAGAAAAAAAUAAUAAAAUAAAGCCAUUCACUGAUGCUCAAAAGUUAUGAAAAUAGUAACCUGUUUCCAAAUCUGCAUUAGAACCCUGGGUAGCAAAGAUGGAAGAGCUCUUCUGGCUGUGCUGAUGUGCUGGUGGCUCACCCAGGAAAAUGUGUUGAGCCUGUCCAGGAAAAUCAUUAAUUAAUUUAGCAUGCAUGAAUUAUUUAUUUGCCAAAAGCUUUUAAUUCCUAUGAUUGAUUUGCAUUCAGUCGCACCUCCUGAGAGCAAAGUAAUCCUGGUGCUCUCAUAAUUGUCCUUCAGUAGAGCAUUCCUCAAGCCUUAUAGUGGUUACUUGAAAAUUUGUGAGGCUUUUGCAGAUUAGGUGAGUUGACAGAUCUAUAGCAUACAAGGAGGCUCCAGAUGAAAGGAGAAACUCAGGGAUUUUUUGGAGGGUUAAAAAAGAAGCCAGGUCCAUCAGGGAAUUGCUAGAUGUAAAUUAGAAGAAAAAACAGAAAUGAAUGGACGCUUGGUGACUGAUCUGUUAGAAUUUUUUCUUAAUAUGUCAUCAUUUUUUCCACAUACCAUUGACAAAAUAAUCUGUUAACAUGAAAAGUGGC